RNAcentral lists this ribosomal RNA (492 nucleotides) under uncultured bacterium. RNAcentral describes it as "partial 16S ribosomal RNA". It matches the Rfam family "Bacterial small subunit ribosomal RNA", at positions 30 to 507 of the family's 1533-position model. The record is from RNAcentral.
AUUGAACGCUGGCGGUAGGCCUAACACAUGCAAGUCGAACGGCAGCACAGUAAUAGCUUGCUCUUACGGGUGGCGAGUGGCGGACGGGUGAGGAAUACAUCGGAAUCUACUUUUUCGUGGGUGAUAACGUAGGGAAACUUACGCUAAUACCGCAUACGACCUACGGGUGAAAGCAUGGGAUCUUCGGACCUUGCGCGAUUCAAUGAGCCGAUGUCGGAUUAGCUAGUUGGCGGGGUAAAGGCCCACCAAGGCGACGAUCCGUAGCUGGUCUGAGAGGAUGAUCAGCCACACUGGAACUGAGACACGGUCCAGACUCCUACGGGAGGCAGCAGUGGGGAAUAUUGGACAAUGGGCGAAAGCCUGAUCCAGCCAUACCGCGUGGGUGAAGAAGGUCUUCGGGUUGUAAAGCCCUUUUGGUGGGGAAGAAAAGCAGCAGGUUAAUACCUCGCUGUUUUGACGUUACCAAAAGAAUAAGCACCGGCUAACUUCGUG